GGGGUGCAGCAGUCGCGAAACUCCGCAAUGCACGAAAGUGUGACGGGGCUACCCCGAGUGCCGUCUGCUGAGGAUGGCUUUUCCUCGGUGUAACUAGCCGGGGGAAUAAGGAGAGGGCAAGACUGGUGCCAGCCGCCGCGGUAAUACCAGCGGCCCUAGUGGUGAUCGUUAUUAUUGGGCCUAAAGCGUCCGUAGCCGGUUCGGUAAAUCUCUGGGUAAAUCGUUGGGCUUAACUCAACGAAUUCUGGGGAGACUGCCGGACUUGGGACCGGGAGAGGUCGGAGGUACUCCAGGGGUAGGGGUGAAAUCCUGUAAUCCUUGGGGGACCACCGGUGGCGAAAGCGUCCGACCAGAACGGGUCCGACGGUAAGGGACGAAGCCCUGGGGCGCGAACCGGAUUAGAUACCCGCGUAGUCCA
RNAcentral lists this ribosomal RNA (418 nucleotides) under uncultured euryarchaeote. RNAcentral describes it as "bacterial SSU rRNA". It matches the Rfam family "Archaeal small subunit ribosomal RNA", at positions 327 to 748 of the family's 1478-position model. Lineage: Archaea; Methanobacteriati; Methanobacteriota. The record is from RNAcentral.